GAUGAACGCUGGCGGCGUGCCUAAUACAUGCAAGUCGAGCGAACAGAUGAGGAGCUUGCUCCUCUGACGUUAGCGGCGGACGGGUGAGUAACACGUGGAUAACCUACCUAUAAGACUGGGAUAACUUCGGGAAACCGGAGCUAAUACCGGAUAAUAUAUUGAACCGCAUGGUUCAAUAGUGAAAGACGGUUUUGCUGUCACUUAUAGAUGGAUCCGCGCCGCAUUAGCUAGUUGGUAAGGUAACGGCUUACCAAGGCAACGAUGCGUAGCCGACCUGAGAGGGUGAUCGGCCACACUGGAACUGAGACAAGGUCCAGAAUCCUACGGGAGGCAGCAGUAGGGAAUCUUCCGCAAAGGGCGAAAGCCUGACGGAGCAACGCCGCGUGAGUGAUGAAGGUCUUCGGAUCGUAAAACUCUGUUAUUAGGGAAGAACAAAUGUGUAAGUAACUAUGCACGUCUUGACGGUACCUAAUCAGAAAGCCACGGCUAACUACGUG
Molecule: ribosomal RNA, 497 nt
Filed under: uncultured bacterium
Lineage: Bacteria
Description: partial 16S ribosomal RNA
Rfam family: Bacterial small subunit ribosomal RNA
Source: RNAcentral